AACGAACGCUGGCGGCAGGCUUAACACAUGCAAGUCGAGCGCCCCGCAAGGGGAGCGGCAGACGGGUGAGUAACACGUGGGAAUCUACCCAUCCCUACGGAACAACUCCGGGAAACUGGAGCUAAUACCGUAUACGCCCUUUGGGGGAAAGAUUUAUCGGGGAUGGAUGAGCCCGCGUUGGAUUAGCUAGUUGGUGGGGUAAAGGCCUACCAAGGCGACGAUCCAUAGCUGGUCUGAGAGGAUGAUCAGCCACAUUGGGACUGAGACACGGCCCAAACUCCUACGGGAGGCAGCAGUGGGGAAUAUUGGACAAUGGGCGCAAGCCUGAUCCAGCCAUGCCGCGUGAAUGAUGAAGGCCUUAGGGUUGUAAAGUUCUUUCACCGAUGAAGAUAAUGACGGUAGUCGGAGAAGAAGCCCCGGCUAACUUCGUGCCAGCAGCCGCCGUAA
Molecule: ribosomal RNA, 447 nt
Filed under: uncultured bacterium
Lineage: Bacteria
Description: partial 16S ribosomal RNA
Rfam family: Bacterial small subunit ribosomal RNA
Source: RNAcentral